UACAGAGGGGGCAAGCGUUGUUCGGAAUUACUGGGCGUAAAGGGCGCGUAGGCGGCCAACUAAGUCGGACGUGAAAUCCCCAGGCUCAACCUGGGAACUGCGUCCGAUACUGGAUGGCUCGAAUCCGGGAGAGGGAUGUGGAAUUCCAGGUGUAGCGGUGAAAUGCGUAGAUAUCGGGAGGAACACCAGUAGCGAAGGCGGUUCUCUGGGCCGGUACUGACGCUGAGGAGCGAAAGCGUGGGGAGCAAACAGG
RNAcentral lists this ribosomal RNA (253 nucleotides) under uncultured bacterium. RNAcentral describes it as "partial 16S ribosomal RNA". It matches the Rfam family "Bacterial small subunit ribosomal RNA", at positions 524 to 776 of the family's 1533-position model. The record is from RNAcentral.